GGCGCCCCUGGGCUUCCUCAUUCUUAAAUGGAUUUUGCCAUUUAAGUAUGUCUAUAGGAUCCAGCUCUUUGAGGCAUUUAAUAUAUCCUUCCCAUUUUUUAUAUUUGUUUAUUGCUUUUCUCUAGGGGAAAAAGGUGGAUGGCUCUGUAAAUGCUUAUGCCAUAAAUGUGUCUCAGAAGAGGAAGUACAGGCAAUAUAUGAAUCGAAAAGGCGGAUUCAACAGACCUUUGGAUUUCAUUGCAUGAGAAUUGAAAUGUUAAAGAAUGAUUUUUUUUUCCCUUACCUUGUUCAGAAGAGUGGAUUUUGUAUUUCAUAUUUAAUAUGCAUAAAAAACAGGAUCACAGUCCUUCCUCCUUGUAAAGUAAGAAAAUUUUAUUUAUGAUGUGUGCAGUUCACUUACCCUGACUCACAAAAAGGAAAGUUAAAUACUGCAUUUUUUUCUUUUAGGAAAUAUCAUUUGGGGCAAUCAUCAGCCCUAUUUUUUGGUUCUUAUUGUUGUGGAAGCUGUAUAUGUUUUCUUCUUGGAUGCUUGUUAGGACUUUUUAAAACACAUAAAAGUAAUUUGGAUGUAAGUUUCUCAAAUAAAGCAGUAUUUCUACCCUUUUGUAUUUGAUAAA
This is a non-coding RNA of Leptonychotes weddellii (Weddell seal), 617 nucleotides long. Lineage: Eukaryota; Metazoa; Chordata; Mammalia; Carnivora; Phocidae. The record is from RefSeq and is a predicted model, not a curated record.